CCAACGGGGUGCACCAGUGGGGAAUAUUGGACAAUGGGCGAAAGCCUGAUCCAGCAAUGCCGCGUGUGUGAAGAAGGUCUUCGGAUUGUAAAGCACUUUCGAUGGGGACGAUGAUGACGGUACCCGUAGAAGAAGCCCCGGCUAACUUCGUGCCAGCAGCCGCGGUAAUACGAAGGGGGCUAGCGUUGUUCGGAAUUACUGGGCGUAAAGCGCGCGUAGGCGGAUAGAUAAGUCAGAGGUGAAAUCCCGGGGCUCAACCCCGGAAUUGCCUUUGAUACUGUUUAUCUUGAGUGCGGAAGAGGUAAGUGGAAUUCCGAGUGUAGAGGUGAAAUUCGUAGAUAUUCGGAGGAACACCAGUGGCGAAGGCGGCUUACUGGUCUGCAACUGACGCUGAGGCGCGAAAGCGUGGGGAGCAAACAGGAUUAGAUACCCCCGUAGUC
This 440-nucleotide ribosomal RNA is filed under the name uncultured bacterium. RNAcentral describes it as "bacterial SSU rRNA". It matches the Rfam family "Bacterial small subunit ribosomal RNA", at positions 338 to 795 of the family's 1533-position model. The record is from RNAcentral.